ACGAACGCUGGCGGCGUGCUUAACACAUGCAAGUCGCACGGAAAGGCCCUGCUUUUGUGGGGUGCUCGAGUGGCGAACGGGUGAGUAACACGUGAGUAACCUGCCCUUGACUUUGGGAUAACUUCAGGAAACUGGGGCUAAUACCGGAUAGGAGCUCCUGCUGCAUGGUGGGGGUUGGAAAGUUUCGGCGGUUGGGGAUGGACUCGCGGCUUAUCAGCUUGUUGGUGGGGUAGUGGCUUACCAAGGCUUUGACGGGUAGCCGGCCUGAGAGGGUGACCGGCCACAUUGGGACUGAGAUACGGCCCAGACUCCUACGGGAGGCAGCAGUGGGGAAUAUUGCACAAUGUGCGGAAGCCUGAUGCAGCAACGCCGCGUGCGGGAUGACGGCCUUCGGGUUGUAAACCGCUUUCGCCUGUGACGAAGCGUGAGUGACGGUAAUGGGUAAAGAAGCACCGGCUAACUACGUG
Molecule: ribosomal RNA, 467 nt
Filed under: uncultured bacterium
Lineage: Bacteria
Description: partial 16S ribosomal RNA
Rfam family: Bacterial small subunit ribosomal RNA
Source: RNAcentral